CCUACGGGAGGCAGCAGUGAGGAAUAUUGGUCAAUGGCCGAGAGGCUGAACCAGCCAAGUCGCGUGAGGGAAGACGGCCCUACGGGUUGUAAACCUCUUUUGUCGGGGAUCAAAGCGAGUCACGUGUGACCCCUUGAGAGUACCCGCAGAAAAAGCCUCGGCUAACUCCGUGCCAGCAGCCGCGGUAAUACGGAGGAUGCGAGCGUUAUACGGAUUUAGUGGGUUUAAGGGGUGCGCAGGCGGGGGUGCAAGUCAGCGGUAAAAUUUCGGGGCACAACCCCGUACUGCCGUUGAACAGGCAUCCAUUGAGUACGCGAGAAGUAUGCGGAAUGCGUGGUGUAGCGGUGAAAUGCAUAGAUAUCACGCAGAACUCCGAUUGCGAAGGCAGCAUACCGGCGCGCAACUGACGCUCAUGCACGAAAGCGUGGGUAUCGAACAGGAUUAGAUACCCGGGUAGUC
RNAcentral lists this ribosomal RNA (459 nucleotides) under uncultured bacterium. Its description in RNAcentral is "partial 16S ribosomal RNA". It matches the Rfam family "Bacterial small subunit ribosomal RNA", at positions 338 to 795 of the family's 1533-position model. The record is from RNAcentral.